GAGAGAGAGAGAGAAUAUUAUGUGAAUAAAUUAUAUAUAAAAAUUUUAAACAACUGCUACAAUACUCGAGAAAGCCAUCAUUUUUACUUUCAUCAAUAUAAAAUAAUAUCUAUAAGACUGAAUGAGUAAUUGAUUCCGGGAGAAACAGCGCGUGCCACUAUUGGAUGUGACGUCACAGGUCAGGGCGACGGCUUUAAGGCUUUUGCUUGUUCGUAAAUGUUUGUUUUCAAAGUUUUAGAAUGUUUAUUUUCGAACGUUUAGGAGGGUAUAUAAAGCGAGACGGAGCCAUAGCACUUCAGUUCUAAAUCUCUGUCUCUCUGGACUACACGUGCGAUUUUCACUCUCUGACCGUUUUCUACACGGCGAUCUGCAAUCAACUCCUGAACCCAGUCUCCGCUACGAUCAUCCCGGCAGCACUUGCGGCGUCGCAGCGAUGAUCUUUAGGAGAAAAGAGUUGCCGCAGCUCCUGGAGGAUGAGCCUGAGACUGGAGGGGGCGGACUGUCUGACAGCAACGGAACAUGGACGGAAGAAACUCCGUCUGACCUGCUGCUUGCCAGUGAGCUCCAUUACAACACCGUAGAGGUUAGUGACAAUGAGGAGUCCUACAGUCCUGAUCAGGUAGGUAUCAAUUGUUUUGCUGUGGAGGGUGUCCACCAGGGGAGGAGACAGAGGGAGCAGAUGAGUGAGGACAACACCGAAGAGGCCCCUCCUAGAAGAAGACAGCGUUUGGAGCAAGACGACGAUAUCUAUGAGCUGUAGAAGCUCCAUCCAGCAGUGAGCAUUUCUGGUGGAUGGGUGUUGAAGAGGACAACGAUGAAGAGGACCCUCCUAGAAGUAGACAACAUGAGGAGCAAGAAGACACUGAAAAUGAUUUGGAAAUUGAUUUGAUUUUUCACUUCUUGUCGUUAGUAGAAUUACAUUAGUUUUCUAGUUACACUUAACUAGUAGUAUAGUACUAGCUAAGCUACCAUGAGGUAAGCUCCAGCUCCAGUCUUAGGUCAUCUCCAGUCAUCUCCGGUCUCAAUCCGGUUUCCUCCCCCAGUCCAAAGACAUGCAUGGUAGGCUGAUUGGCAUGUCCAAAGUGUCCGUAGUGUAUGAAUGGGUGUGUGAUUGUGUAUUUUAUUGUGCCUGCGAUGGAUUGGCACCCUGUCCAGGGUGUACCCCGCCUUGUGCCCCAUGCUCCCUGGGAUAGGCUCCAGGUUUAGAAGAUGGAUGGGUGGAUGGAUAUAUUAAAUGUGUAGGCUAGACAUGUUAGUUCUAAAAUA
Long non-coding RNA from Ictalurus punctatus (channel catfish), 1266 nucleotides. The record is from Ensembl. NCBI's taxonomy places the organism in Eukaryota, Metazoa, Chordata, Actinopteri, Siluriformes, Ictaluridae.